GUGGGGAAUCUUGCGCAAUGGGCGAAAGCCUGACGCAGCCAUGCCGCGUGGAUGAUGAAGGUCUUAGGAUUGUAAAAUCCUUUCACCGGUGAAGAAAAUGACUGUAGCCGGAGAAGAAGCCCCGGCUAACUUCGUGCCAGCAGCCGCGGUAAUACGAAGGGGGCUAGCGUUGCUCGGAUUUACUGGGCGUAAAGGGCGCGUAGGCGGACAUUUAAGUCAGGGGUGAAAUCCCGGGGCUCAACCUCGGAACUGCCUUUGAUACUGGGUGUCUUGAGUAUGAGAGAGGUGUGUGGAACUCCGAGUGUAGAGGUGAAAUUCGUAGAUAUUCGGAAGAACACCAGUGGCGAAGGCGACACACUGGCUCAUUACUGACGCUGAGGCGCGAAAGCGUGGGGAGCAAACAGGAUUAGAAACCCUUGUAGUCC
Molecule: ribosomal RNA, 425 nt
Filed under: uncultured bacterium
Lineage: Bacteria
Description: partial 16S ribosomal RNA
Rfam family: Bacterial small subunit ribosomal RNA
Source: RNAcentral